AGAGUUUGAUCAUGGCUCAGAAUCAACGCUGGCGGCGUGCCUAACACAUGCAAGUCGCACGAGAAAGGGUAGCAAUACCUGAGUAAAGUGGCGCACGGGUGAGUAACACGUGAAUGAUCUACCUCCGAGUGGGGAAUAACUGAGAGAAAUCUUAGCUAAUACCGCAUAACACUUACGAGUCAAAGCAGCAAUGCGCUUGGAGAGGAGUUCGCGGCCGAUUAGUUAGUUGGCGGGGUAAUGGCCCACCAAGACGAUGAUCGGUAUCCGGCCUGAGAGGGCGCACGGACACACUGGAACUGAAACACGGUCCAGACUCCUACGGGAGGCAGCAGUGGGGAAUUUUGCGCAAUGGGGGAAACCCUGACGCAGCAACGCCGCGUGGAGGAUGAAAUAUCUUGGUAUGUAAACUCCUUUCGAUGGGGAAGAUUAUGACGGUACCCAUAGAAGAAGCCCCGGCUAACUUCGUGCCAGCAGCCGCGGUAAUACGAGGGGGGCAAGCGUUGUUCGGAUUUAUUGGGCGUAAAGGGUGCGUAGGCGGUUUGGCAAGUCUGAUGUGAAAUCUAUGGGCUCAACCCAUAGUCUGCAUCAGAAACUGCCGGGCUUGAGUAUGGGAGAGGUGAGUGGAAUUUCCGGUGUAGCGGUGAAAUGCGUAGAUAUCGGAAGGAACACCUGUGGCGAAAGCGGCUCACUGGACCAUAACUGACGCUGAUGCACGAAAGCUAGGGGAGCAAACAGGAUUAGAUACCCUAGUAGUCC
RNAcentral lists this ribosomal RNA (756 nucleotides) under uncultured bacterium. RNAcentral's name for it is "bacterial SSU rRNA". It matches the Rfam family "Bacterial small subunit ribosomal RNA", at positions 8 to 796 of the family's 1533-position model. The record is from RNAcentral.